AGGGCUUAUAGUUACUUGGGAAUGAAAAUGUAGGUCAGAUCCAACAUCCGAAGCAAGUUUGGUAGUGUACAUCCCUAGAUGCAUCAUCCAUGCAAGUUUGGUCCGAGUAGGGCUUAUAGUUCCUUGGAAAUGGACCUGCUCCAAAAACUUUAACCUGGUCACUCAUCUGGAAAAUGUAGGUCAGAUCCAGCAUCAGAAGCAAGUCUGGUAGUGUACA
Saccostrea cuccullata (small rock oyster) is the source of this 217-nucleotide long non-coding RNA. RefSeq lists it as uncharacterized. NCBI's taxonomy places the organism in Eukaryota, Metazoa, Mollusca, Bivalvia, Ostreida, Ostreidae. The transcript is spliced from 2 exons. The record is from RefSeq and is a predicted model, not a curated record.